UUAUUAUCUGUGUCAGGGUAACAUCUAAGAAAUUUGAUUCUUGUACUUACCUGGCAGGAGAUGGAGAUAGCUAACUAGACACAGAGGAGCAAGGUGAUAUGAAGAUAGCUGUGACUGAUAUGAUAAGGAGUGGUCAACAGCUGUCUGAUAACUGCAUGGUUCACGACAAGGGUCAUGAGAGCAGCAAGAAUGAGGCACCACCAGAAGCUGCAAGACAUCCUGCCUUACUCUCUGGGCCAUCUCUGCAGACUACAGCAACAGUCUAAGCUGACAAAAUUUAACUUGGGUAUUUCUUUGGAAUACCUAAUGUGGGUUUGUGGAAGUGCUGUAUUCAUUCUUCAGUAGUGUCACUGCCAAUGCAGGCUUUGUUACCCAGCUGGCUGUGGCAUCCCCAUGCUGGUGGUGGAGAGGUGCUGGGGAACAUGGCUGGAGGUGGGCAUUGCACGGGGCUCUCCCACCCCUUCACCCACAGCUGACCCUUGUGGAAACACUCAAUAUCUAAAAGAAAACCCAUCCACUUCCUUGCAAUAAAACAUUUGGAACAGC
RNAcentral lists this long non-coding RNA (546 nucleotides) under Anser brachyrhynchus (Pink-footed goose). Its description in RNAcentral is "lncRNA (ENSABRG00000008813.1)". The record is from RNAcentral. Lineage: Eukaryota; Metazoa; Chordata; Aves; Anseriformes; Anatidae.